This 144-nucleotide non-coding RNA is filed under the name Endozoicomonas montiporae. RNAcentral's name for it is "Bacterial large subunit ribosomal RNA". It matches the Rfam family "Bacterial large subunit ribosomal RNA", at positions 2309 to 2452 of the family's 2925-position model. Lineage: Bacteria; Pseudomonadati; Pseudomonadota; Gammaproteobacteria; Oceanospirillales; Endozoicomonadaceae. The record is from Rfam by way of RNAcentral.
UGCUGAGACACUCUCAAGUAUAUNGGACAUCGUGCGGUUAGUGUAAAGGCACAAGCCAGCUUGACUGCGAGACGUACAUGUCGAGCAGGUACGAAAGUAGGUCUUAGUGAUCCGGUGGUUCUGAAUGGAAGGGCCAUCGCUCAA